AUUGAACGCUGGCGGAAUGCUUUACACAUGCAAGUCGAACGGCAGCACGGGGCAACCUGGUGGCGAGUGGCGAACGGGUGAGUAAUACAUCGGAACGUGCCCAAUCGUGGGGGAUAACGUAGCGAAAGUUACGCUAAUACCGCAUACGAUCUACGGAUGAAAGCGGGGGAUCGCAAGACCUCGCGCGAAUGGAGCGGCCGAUGUCAGAUUAGGUAGUUGGUGGGGUAAAGGCUCACCAAGCCGACGAUCUGUAGCUGGUCUGAGAGGACGACCAGCCACACUGGGACUGAGACACGGCCCAGACUCCUACGGGAGGCAGCAGUGGGAAUUUUGGACAAUGGGCGCAAGCCUGAUCCAGCCAUUCCGCGUGCAGGAUGAAGGCC
This 383-nucleotide ribosomal RNA is filed under the name uncultured bacterium. RNAcentral's name for it is "bacterial SSU rRNA". It matches the Rfam family "Bacterial small subunit ribosomal RNA", at positions 30 to 416 of the family's 1533-position model. The record is from RNAcentral.